CAUUGUUGGAGAGUUUGAUCCUGGCUCAGGACGAACGCUGGCGGCGUGCUUAACACAUGCAAGUCGAACGCUGAAGCACUUUCGGGUGUGGAUGAGUGGCGAACGGGUGAGUAACACGUGGGCAAUCUGCCCUG
The sequence is a ribosomal RNA, 134 nucleotides long. It matches the Rfam family "Bacterial small subunit ribosomal RNA", at positions 1 to 133 of the family's 1533-position model.